GUGGAGGUUUAGCUCAGUGGUUACUUCUUAACUACCACAAGUUCUCUCCCCUCACCGGGUUCGCGUCCAGCGGUCCCCGAGGAUCUACCACGGGCGCUGUCCUCUGCUUUU
Vault RNA from Sparus aurata (gilthead seabream), 111 nucleotides. Its record names the gene Vault. It matches the Rfam family "Vault RNA". Rfam says of the family: This family of RNAs are found as part of the enigmatic vault ribonucleoprotein complex. Lineage: Eukaryota; Metazoa; Chordata; Actinopteri; Spariformes; Sparidae. The record is from Ensembl.